UGGGGGAUAUUGCACAAUGGGCGAAAGCCUGAUGCAGCGACGCCGCGUGGGGGAUGAAGGCCUUCGGGUUGUAAACUUCUUUUGCUCUGAACAAGGCAUGCUAAUGGGUGUGUUGAGUGUAGGGGUUGAUUAGCGCCGGCUAACUACGUGCCAGCAGCCGCGGUAAUACGUAGGGCGCGAGCGUUGUCCGGAAUUAUUGGGCGUAAAGGGCUUGUAGGUGGCUGGUUGCGUCUGUCGUGAAAGCUCAUGGCUUAACUGUGGUUUGCGGUGGGUACGGGCUGGCUUGAGUGCAGUAGGGGAGGCUGGAAUUCCUGGUGUAGCGGUGGAAUGCGCAGAUAUCAGGAGGAAUACCGGUGGCGAAGGCGGGUCUCUGGGCUGUUACUGACACUGAGGAGCGAAAGCAUGGGGAGCGAACAGG
This 418-nucleotide ribosomal RNA is filed under the name bacterium. RNAcentral's name for it is "partial 16S ribosomal RNA". It matches the Rfam family "Bacterial small subunit ribosomal RNA", at positions 355 to 776 of the family's 1533-position model. The record is from RNAcentral.